GCUGGGUGUGGUGGCGCAUACCUGUAGUCCCAGUUACUCAGGAGGCUGAGGCAGGAGGAUUGCUUGAGCCUAGGAGGUUGAGGCUGCAGUGAGUCAUGAUCACACCACUGGACUCCAGCCUGGGCUACAGAUCAAGACCCUGUCCCAG
This is an unclassified non-coding RNA of Macaca fascicularis (crab-eating macaque), 148 nucleotides long. It matches the Rfam family "Metazoan signal recognition particle RNA". Rfam says of the family: The signal recognition particle (SRP) is a universally conserved ribonucleoprotein. It is involved in the co-translational targeting of proteins to membranes. The eukaryotic SRP consists of a 300-nucleotide 7S RNA and six proteins: SRPs 72, 68, 54, 19, 14, and 9. NCBI's taxonomy places the organism in Eukaryota, Metazoa, Chordata, Mammalia, Primates, Cercopithecidae. The record is from Ensembl.